RNAcentral lists this unclassified non-coding RNA (242 nucleotides) under uncultured fungus. RNAcentral describes it as "sequence contains ITS1, 5.8S rRNA gene". The stretch from base 194 to 242 matches the Rfam family "5.8S ribosomal RNA", at positions 1 to 49 of the family's 154-position model. The record is from RNAcentral. Lineage: Eukaryota; Fungi.
UCUCCGUUGGUGAACCAGCGGAGGGAUCAUUACCGAGUUUACAACUCCCAAACCCAAUGUGAACAUACCUCUCGUUGCUUCGGCGGGAACGCCCCGGCUCUGCCCGGAACCAGGCCCCCGCCGCAAGACCUUAAACUCUGUUUUAUUAUAGUUGUUUACUCUGAGUAGCUUCUAAAGCAAAGAAAUAAAUCAAAACUUUCAACAACGGAUCUCUUGGUUCUGGCAUCGAUGAAGAACGCAGC